GAUGAACGCUGGCGGCGUGCCUAAUACAUGCAAGUCGAGCGAACAGACGAGGAGCUUGCUCCUCUGACGUUAGCGGCGGACGGGUGAGUAACACGUGGAUAACCUACCUAUAAGACUGGGAUAACUUCGGGAAACCGGAGCUAAUACCGGAUAAUAUAUUAAACCGCAUGGUUCAAUAGUGAAAGACGGUUUUGCUGUCACUUAUAGAUGGAUACGAGACGCAUUAGCUAGUUGGUAAGGUAACGGCUUACCAAGGCAACGAUGCGUAGCCGACCUGAGAGCGUGACCAGCCACACUAGAACUGAGACCCGGUCCAGACUCCUACGGGAGGCAACAGUAGGGAAUCUUACGAGAUGGGAGAAGGGCUGACGGAGCAACGCCGCGUGACUGAUGCAGAUCUUCUAAUCGUAAAACUCUGUUAUUAGGGAAGAACAAAUGUGUAAGUAAGUAUGCACGAAUAGACGGUCCCUACUCAGAAGGCCAAGGCAAACUACGUG
This 497-nucleotide ribosomal RNA is filed under the name uncultured bacterium. Its description in RNAcentral is "partial 16S ribosomal RNA". It matches the Rfam family "Bacterial small subunit ribosomal RNA", at positions 28 to 507 of the family's 1533-position model. The record is from RNAcentral.